UUUGCCGGGCUCUCUCUUGUUUGAAGUUAUUGAUGAAUUUUGUGCCAGAUUCUUUUUGACUAUUGAGUAAAAAGGUAAUGCCCCUUCUUUGGAAAAUAUGAUAUACAGGCUUCAUGCAUCAUUGUACAACAUGCAUCUGUGGUUUGUUUUUGGAGGGUAUCUUUCUUUCCUCCUUCUUUAGCUUAUUCUUCUUCUAAGCAAAAGAAGGAAAGAUCAUAAAUUUUAGUUGGUUUGCUGAACCCUUGGAAACUUUUUAAUCUUUGUCCAUGUUAGCUCCUUACCACGUAUGAUAAACUUGCGAUAAUUAUAUAGAGAGCAGGAGUUAAGGCUAAAUCUCUCACUCUUAUGCCAUCUUAUUUGUGUUCUUGUAGUGGGUGCUGUUUUUUUCUCUUUAAUAGUAAGCUAGUGGACAGAGAAUGGUUUCUUUAGGUAUUUAUUGCGAGUUAGCUAUUUGAGGUUCACAAUUAAAGUUUGUGAUGCAACAAUGAAAAUUUGUUCUCCAUAUAUGAUACCGCAUUUUACCAAACAUGAAGAAUUUUUCAAUCGCGGACAAUGCUUUCUGGAAAAUUCAUAAACUGCGUUGAAAUAGUUUUCUACAUUCUGUCAUUUCAUAUUUCUUUUGCAAUGCUUAUAUAUUUUGUUGAUUCUGGAUCUGGAAAUCAUGCAGUGUCAGUUUGUCUUGAAACUUUUUAGCUUGUUCAAUUAAAAAGAAAUAGUGGUGUUUUUUUAGCUAAAUCAUGCACAGAUGAUGUUCAAAUAGGGAUGGCGGUGUAUUCACUAUUCAGGACACUGAUAAGUUGUUCUUGUAGGUGUUCUUUUCCCGUGUGAUUUUUAUUAUACAGCUUGAUGGUUCAGAUCAUGCUACACAUGACAUCUAAAAUGCCUGUCGUUGUCUUUCCGGAUAGCAAUUAUCUUUAAGUUGUGCAGGAGUGCUCAAUCUGCAAUACUGCAUCGAUUAAAUGGAUAUGAAUUAAGAGCAUCAAGCUAAGGGCUUGCUGUCUUUUCUCCUCUGAAGAAACUCAAGAUCGUUGCAGAUUUUGGGCUAGAAUAGCAAUGGCUAUAUGUCCUAUGUGAACUAUGUAUGCUUGGAGGAGUCUUGAACAGUUACUGCAGGUGAGCUCCUAAACCCUUUUGUAAGAUUCCUACGACCCGUAACGUAAGGGACUGGUUAUGCCACCAUAAAAUCUUGAAGGCUUCCAAAUGCUAAAUUCCAAUUAUGACAUGUUUAUUUAUAAAAUCUCCUUUAGCAAAUUCUUUACCACAAUUUCUUAUGGCAAGUUAAAAGGCUUUGCAACUUAGGGUGUGAACUUGAUGUAGAAAUUAGAGUCUUAAGGUACAUAAUUAUGUUCUUCACUGUUCUGUUUAUGCUUCUCUUCUUGAAACUAACUGGUCAAUCCAUGGUCAAAGCGUGGCUUCUCUUUUAUCUAUCUUAUCUCCUAUGGCUAUUCAAGUCUUAAGGGAGUCACGGUAUUUUUGAAGAAAAACACGUCUCUCGCUGACAUGACGGAUCAGUAUUCAACAUUCUACUGGCUUGUAUCAUUUUUUCUUUUGAAGAUACUCUUUUAAUGUUAUUUGAUCAUCUAAUUCUUUUUCAUUAAUUGUUUGUUUGUUUCAUGAGUGGUUGCUGAGUGCACAACCUUAUAAUUUCUGUUCUUGUUACUCCGCCUUCAAAGUUCAACAAUGAAGCAAUAUUGCUUUGAAGGUCAAAGAAGGUUCUAGAUUUCUUUCGAAAAGAUGGGGAGUACUACUCGAACACUUUAUGCUCUACAUCUUCCCUAACUUUGGAUCUGCCUUUUAUUCUGGUUCCUGUUCUCCAUCUCUAUCUUAGAGGUCCAAGAUCUAUCAUGGGAUUAUGGUUUGAAAUUUGGAUUGCCUUGAGAAACGUGUGAUGGCUUUGGACUUUGGAGUUGUUGCUGGAUCAUUAUGAAAACUCAGGAAGCUAAUUCCUGUAUGACCCAAUGCGGCAGGAUGUGCUUUUUAAGUAACCAACAUGCUAAUGCUAAGGUCCUCUCUGUUCAUCAUGAUAGCAGCUGUUGCUUAAUAAAGAGCAAAGAGUUAAUUAUUAACAAUACAUGAAAAGAGUCGUGCGAGCUUAGUUAAUGGCAGUUAAUUCGAAUCGUUUCCUUGGGUUUUCGGUGUAGAACGGCUUCAAUGGAUAUAUUUCCGAACAAGGGAAGUAGCCAUGAGGAACAAGAUAAUGGGCCUACUCAGAAAGCCACACUGAACCAUUAGAGACAUGCAAAAGCACCCAAUCUCUUCCACUUGGACUUAACCGUGGUUCAACAUUAUAGAAGUGGCUGUACCAUAAUGUACAAGUAUCGAGUCUGAACUGCAUCUUCAGGGUAUUGUUCAAUUUGUUGAAAUAUGCCAAGGGAUUAAAUGAAUAAACUCCCCUUUGCUG
Long non-coding RNA from Populus trichocarpa (black cottonwood), 2401 nucleotides. RefSeq lists it as uncharacterized. NCBI's taxonomy places the organism in Eukaryota, Viridiplantae, Streptophyta, Magnoliopsida, Malpighiales, Salicaceae. The transcript is spliced from 3 exons. The record is from RefSeq and is a predicted model, not a curated record.